This 512-nucleotide ribosomal RNA is filed under the name uncultured bacterium. Its description in RNAcentral is "partial 16S ribosomal RNA". It matches the Rfam family "Bacterial small subunit ribosomal RNA", at positions 28 to 507 of the family's 1533-position model. The record is from RNAcentral.
GAUGAACGCUGGCGGCGUGCCUAAUACAUGCAAGUCGAACGAAACUUCUUUAUCACCGAGUGCUUGCACUCACCGAUAAAGAGUUGAGUGGCGAACGGGUGAGUAACACGUGGGCAACCUGCCCAAAAGAAGGGGAUAACACUUGGAAACAGGUGCUAAUACCGCAUAACCAUAGUUACCGCAUGGUAACUAUGUAAAAGGUGGCUAUACUACCGCUUUUGGAUGGGCCCGCGGCGCAUUAGCUAGUUGGUAGGGUAAAGGCUUACCAAGGCAAUGAUGCGUAGCCGAAUUGAGAGGUUGAUCGGCCACAUUGGGACUGAGACACGGCCCAAACUCCUACGGGAGGCAGCAGUAGGGAAUCUUCCACAAUGGGCGAAAGCCUGAUGGAGCGACGCCGCGUGGGUGAAGAAGGUCUUCGGAUCGUAAAACCCUGUUGUUAGAGAAGAAAGUGCGUGAGAGUAACUGUUCACGUUUCGACGGUAUCUAACCAGAAAGCCACGGCUAACUACGUG